CACAGUUCUGUACAAUGGUUACAAUACGACUAAUGUUCCUAGGUUUGAUUCCGGUUUGUCUUGCAGAUGGAUUCAACUAUUUAUCUGAGGGUGAUUAUGGUGGGGCUUUGGUGUAUUA
Molecule: long non-coding RNA, 118 nt
Organism: Aricia agestis (brown argus)
Lineage: Eukaryota; Metazoa; Arthropoda; Insecta; Lepidoptera; Lycaenidae
Exons: 3
Source: RefSeq, a predicted model, not a curated record